AGUAGUUACUUGGCGUAGGGAAAAUUCAUAUAUAAUUGAAUAUAUCUUUAUUAAGGAUUCCAGAUUGAUAGACUCAGAAUAGAGCUAAGGAGGGAUAGAAUAGAGUUGACCAAUAUCAGGCUGAAACCCGUGCAUCAAAGAACCAAACAGUGCCUCUAAAGACUGAUGCUAUGGAGUUGCAGGCUUAAACAAGAGCCUCCAAGCCUGAUACCGGGUAGCCAAAGAGUGGAGCUAGCUGUUAUAACCGCCAAACAACGUAUAAUGUUGUGUGGCAGGCGUGAAACUGUGUUCGGCAUCCAAGCCUGAAAGCGAGGGUAGUGAGACUCAGACACCUAACUACAAGACUAUAACUAGUAACUAUAAGACUUCAACCAGGUAGCCACCACCGAUUGCCCUCAGUCAGGAGUCAGGAGUCAUAAAUAAGAAUUAGUUGACAGAGCCAGAGAGGGCAGGGUAGGCUUGUGACUCGGGUUGUUUUGUUUACUGACUUUGUUUACUUACUAGUUAGGUCUAUUAGGGGUAGUUGACAGCAACCUGUGGAAUUCUUUUGAAAGUAGAUGAGCCAUAGGUCAGGAGUGGAGCUAGUGGGACUCAGGCUUAAAGCAAAGGUAGUAAGCCUAACAAUCAGUAGUUACAGACUUAAGCAAGGGAGUGGAAAACUGAUAUUGGUACCGACCAGACUGAAGCUAUUGCUGCUAGGACUGGUGCCGGGCAGACUGAUGCUACUCCUAUCCAGAACCAACCCAGGGAGUCUAAGGAUGGAACUAAGUAGUAUAAGUAGAGGCAUGCGGGAGAGGAAGUAAGAAUUCCACUCGGUUGAGCUAGAGAGGUUCGCUAGUUUAGGGUGCUAAGGUAAGAGAAUCAUCUGUUCGAGGUAAAGUUUCAAGUGUAGUUUGUUUCUUUGGGAGCUAGGGUUGGCUUAGAGUCUCCUUUUUCAUCAUACAUAGAAUCAGUGGUUAAAAAGCGGUAAGCAGAAAGAAAAGGUGCUUUGAAACUAGAACAGAACCCAAGUUAGGUUAUGAUUGUGCGCUCUUGUGUCUAAGGCUUUCGCCACUAUAGUAUAGGAGUGGAGUAAAUAACUUCUUCAGCACCGUGAAGUGAAGUGGAGAGAGUAGAGGUGCUUGUUUGUAUUAAGAAGCCGUUCUUGAGUUCUUAUCGAGGAGAUCAUUAGUAGUGAUCAAGUAGUCUGCAGCAAGCAAUAUCUAAAGCAACGGAUCAGAGGCAGAAGUCAGAUAAGAAGCGAAUCAGGAUAUCAUGCAAGCGAAGCGGGUAAGGUAGUUGGGUAUAGAUUUAUUGGUUAGAAUAAACUGGAUCUGUAUCUUCAGUAAAAGAAGGAGCUAGUGCUUCUCAGACCGGAGCUACUGCUUUGCUUACAAGAACGAAACCACUGCUAAUGAGACUGAUGCUAUGGAGUGGCAGAACCAGUGCACCAACUAACAGACUUAUACUAGUGCUAGUGAGAAUCAAACCCGAGAGUGACAGAAUGUAGCUAGUAGGUAAAAGGAUGGAGCUAGUGCUGCUAAGCCUGGGAAUGCAGCUGCUAAGGGAUAGAGAUAGAAUGUAGCUAGUACAACUAAGAAUGCCAGUAGUCAUUAUCAGAAUUGACCUAGGGGUAAGUAGUUUCAGAAUUAACCUAGGGGUAAGUAGUUUCAGAAUUAACCUAGUGAGUAGCAGCCUUAAAGCACACAGCAUCAGAGUGCACCUUAGUAGUUACUAACACCGGCCGGGCUAGCUCCUCAUGUCAGUAGUCAAAGAAUGGAACGAGUGAGAGAAAGAAUCAAAGAAGCGCGAAAUCUUUAUCAAGAAAGCUAUCUAUAAGUGGCGGGAAAGGAAAUAGUAUUGGGUUGGGCGGUGAAAGUGCCUGUAGCAAAGCAGUCUGCCUAAUCAGAGUAAGAGAUAAAAGAAGCUGUACGAGCGAGUGUUGCAUCUCGGUUAAGGGCAGCAAGCAGUUAUGAAAGGUUCGUUUUUGUUCGGGCGCGGUACAAGACGUUGUGUUGUUUGCAGGUUAAUUACUUAUAUAUAUAUAUAUGGUGCAUUCCUUUGUUAUAUUGUUAUAUAUAUAUGGUGCAUUCCUUUGUUAUAUUGUUAUGGAGCAUGCAGUGAAUGAAUCAAUUGUAGUUUGAGUGUUGAGCAAGAAGGAUUCAAUUCAAGUUUUACUUCAGACAGGACAGAUCCAACAGAAGAUGCUUUUUGAACAAUUGCCUAGCCCGACGAACAUCCUGACUGCUUUCAUACUAAAACCCGUGCUGCUCCGUUAACACUUGUUCUUUUGUCGUUGCUUUGUUUGCUUUAAGAACUCUUAUGGGCACACUGUUCUAGAAGAGAAGAGAGAUGAUUUCCUGCGCUCGGUACCUAGGUAUGAUAGACUUAAGCAAUAGGCACAUCCACUAAUAAAAGAGAGUAAACAAAGAUCUCAGGGAGUGAGGGCGAUGCGGUGCAAGCAAUUGUCUAUGUUAAGGUAGUUCGGGAUUGAUGAAGAGGUUAAGCAGUUUUGUAUGAAAGGUGUGAGCGAAAAGUCCGGGUAUCGAGUCAGGGCAAAGUGAAUGACUUGAAUCGUGCGGUUGAAAGGUGUGGUUAAGUAUCAAGUUAGCGGGAAAUACAGAAAGUCCGGGUAGGUAGCCAAGAUAACAAGUAGAUCUAGUAGCUCGUAGCUCUGCAUCGGUGUUUGUUUAUUCAUUUCUAUCAUGAAACAACUCGGGGUGCUAAGGGUUGUUUUUGUUUAUAGAACUAUAGCAAGGGAACAAGCUUAGUAGAUUGAGCUCCGUUAGCCGAUGAAGACAGGACGGACUUGCUCUUGACUGAUAAUAACUCCGUAAGCUAUAUAAAAGCGAUAAAAAGCAAGCCGGAGCUAUUGAGUUCGCUAAGCUAAGAGAAAAGAGGUUGGCCCUGGAGAGUAUUUUGAGUGUUGUUACUUUCUCUGGAGAGUAUUUCUAUAGUUAUUACUAUUGCUUGUUCUGUCGUUAUUAUUUGUAAUCACUUAUAUAACGUUAAUUAUGACAACUAUUGCUUGUGUCCGUCUAUAGCUUGUUUGCGUCUGUUAUGAGUCUCGAGUCUCUUCUUUAUGUUCGACUUGAAUCUGUUUGUCGUGGAGAAUUGACUGAUUCCUCCCUAAUAGGUGAGAGGAAAGUUAACUCGAUAAUCAGCUGUUUGAAGAAAGUCUAUAAUUAGAGUAAACUGAUAGAGCAAAGCGAGCUUAGAGGUGCUGCUCCCGACGAAGAAAGGUGAAAGUACAAGGAACCUGCAAUCGAUUCUUCAAGAUAUAAGCAAUGCCAGAAAGGGAAGCUGUAAAGUCAGAAGUAGAGGCCAGAGUGUUGAGUAAGCCCUAAGUGUUGAGUAAGCCCUAAGUCAGUAGUUAGUAGGAAGCCUACCGAUUCUCCGCUGCUAGUAUAAGAUAUAGUACUAUUGGUUUCAUUCCUCUGUUACUAGGCUAGGAAGUCUGUUACUAGGCCUGCAUCUAGACUAGUGGAAUUCUGGAAUCGAAUGGGAUGAAUAAAUUGGAUCAAAUAUGAAAUAAUCCAGAAAAGUCGACAUCAUUUUCCAGUACAUACUCACUACACAAACAGUAGCAAAAAACAUAGGAUAACUUGGACUCUCCUUAUUAAGAAAACAGAUCAAACUAGGGAUGGAACUAUCUAUGUGCUCGGGAGCCGGGCCUGUAGCAAGUGGGUCUGUCUGUUCCUGUUCUAGGAGAAGAAUCUAGGUACCCUCUUUUAAGACUUACUUGUCUUAUAAACCUAUCUUGCUCUUGAAACUCACACUACACUUUCUUUCUUUCCCACUCCUGACACUUUAGACAACAACUGUAACAAAUACCGAUGAACAAAGGAUCUUAGAUGCUAUGAUAACUCGGCGCAAGUGAAAGUACUGGUUCGGUGCUUUAGUGGUGAGUGACUUCUUGAUAAUAAGAAUAGAGUUUACCGGUACCGGGUAGUUAUAGACUUACUGUUGCUGUUGUUUCUUAUGAUUGAAAUAGUAGCAGAAAGAGAAUCCAAAGUAGAAAGAUCAUCAGCCGGGGGUGAAGAAGAGAUUGAGGUUAAGUCGUCAGCAGAAGAAUUGAGAGUUAAGGCUUUAACCGCGGAGUUGGGGCAAUCAUCUAGUAGCAACAGUAGGAGUGCUAUUCUUUACCACAGCCGGGUUUGAUGCGGUAAGUAAAGGAAAUCUCCGUUUAGGUCGGGGUAGAAGAGAGCUUUGAAGCGAGGUGUACUAAUGAAGGUGUAGUUAGCAGAGGCAAUUGACAAGCGGCAGUCCGGGCAAUGAGGAAAUGCAGCAAGUAGUAGUUCAAUUGUAAUAGAAAGUAACGAGGGUUGGAUAAGGUCCGAGGAGACAGUUGAGUUCUUGUGAGCUGAGCAACUGUAGGAGUUACAAAGAAGAGAGAAUAAAUAGUGGAAAGAUAAAAGAAUCAUAGGAAGGGGAAGGGGAGUUGAUAGUUGGAAUUCCUAACCUAAACUGACUUUAGGGGCCUCUGCCUGGAAUUCAUUGAACUCUUUCACUUCGUACUGGGGUUGGGCAAGGUAGAGAGCAAUUCCGAAGUUACAAGAGAAGAAAAAGAAUCACCUGUGCCAGUUCUCAAGUGAGCUGCAGUGAGAGUUUAGGUUGGAAAUGAAUAAAGUCAAGGCUUUGUUUGAUGCGAGGGUAGUUGUUGAAGUCAGUUACUAGACCACCGAUUGACCGAGAGACUAGAGAGUCAGCCCCUAGUCUGUUAGUAGGAGUCAGUAAGCCUACCUCAAUUCUGUAAUUCUAGUUUGCCGGAAGGGUCGGGUCUCAUAAGAAAGAAAGAAAGAAAUCCUCUGUAGGCAGGCAAUGGAAGGGCUUAAUCUUAAUCAUGAGCUAGGUAUUCUAGUUCUAUUACUGGAUGCGCCAAGUAAUGGAUAGACAAGCAAGUCAGAAUGCAACUUCGGUAAGCAUAAACAGAAUCCUAGGCUUUAGCUCUAAGGUCAGAAGAAGGGGAUUGAGCUCUGUAUCAUAGAAAGAAGUAGCUAACCCUACCAUGUGCUCUCUCUUUCAAGUCAGAAUGAAACUAAGUCGACUCAGACUGAUUCUAUGUUGGCUGGUCUAGAACAGUGCCUAUUGGAAUGAGACUAGUGGUACUAAUACUUAAAGCACCGAUAAGCGGACUCAGAAUGAAACUCCCCAGGCUAGGAAUACGGACCAGGCUAGGAAUAAGGAAUGGAAGAAUGAACCAAGGCAGACUACUUAUUAGGUCUAAGAAUGGAACUAAGGUACGAGAUAGCACAUUCCUAUUAUUUAUAGCAAAUAGUGACGACCACAGGUAUCUGUUGCCAGAGUUAGAGGAUAAGACGGAGCCGAGCCAGUAGUUGUUAGAGGGAAAAGAUGCUAUGUGCUAGUUAAGAGAGAAAAGAGCAAGAGUGAAGUCAAUAGGUAACAGCUGCAGUGCCGGGGUUGAUGAGUGACUGAGUUGGGGAAAUCAUCUAGUAGUUUCAUCCCUUGUUUAGUCUGCAAGUCUGGUUUCGGGUUCCAGUCCAGUAGUAUACGCUUGGUUAUCUGUGUCUUGGAUGUUGCCAGAGGUGGAUGAGCAAUCAUUUGUAGCCUUAGUCUAGUAGCAAGAGUUGGAUUAGCCUCAUGAAGGUAGAAGAGAUGCUAUAGUCCAGAGGAUAGGUAGGGAAGGCAGACAAUAAGAAUGGAAUGGGAAGAUCUGAGAAAAACAAUCAAUGAUCAAUAUUAAAUAAAGCAGAAAACUAGAGAUCUUUCUUAUAUACCAACUCAGUACACAAACAGUAUAGGAAACCGUACUAUAUGAUAUAUUCUCUUUAUAUAUGAAACCAGAAUUGGCUUGGUCCCCCGCAUCUACAUCUAGUAAUUGAACUCAGUAGUAGUUGUCUUAGAGCGGGGUCGGCGAGAAAGGAGUUUUUGAAAGACGGGUCCGGGUAAGUAAAGGUAAUCGGCGGGCACCGCAUCAGGCUCAGUAUACCUAGCUAAAGUCUCGCUGGCAAUGGUUUGAGUCUAUCACUCCCUUGUUUAAGUCUGGUUGUUGCCCGGUUAAGGCUUGAUGUUCACUGUUUCAGGCACCAAGCAACUAAGUAAGACGUUGGGCGGCCUUAGACUGAUUAGUUCUAUUCUGUAAUUCCGACUUAUUAGUCUGUCUCUGACUUUCCGACUCCUGAGUGCAGAAUGAAGAGAGAAAGAAUGCAUUGAGAAACCGGAGAGUGAGUUGUUGCUUGGCCCCGGGAUUUUAGAUAGCCAAUAUAGACUUUCCGUACUUAUUGCUUAGCUUCCCUUGCAGACCUAAACUCUGGCUUGCUCCUCUGGCUUGCUCCUCUGUCAACUAAUACAGAUGCAACUUCACUACCGGGAAUUAGCAAAAGUAGAAACCGACUUGCAUUAUAUCUUAUAUAUAAGAGAACAGAAGAGCUCCGAUCCCACUCCGAUCCUGUAGUUUCUUCUGCUUCAAAGCCGAUACUUUCUUAUUCCUCGAAUAGUCUCUUUUCACUCCAAUUCAUUGAACCCGACAAGACACUCACUGCUUCCAUUCCCCAACUCCCCAGCUGAAGUCUGCCCAGCAUCGGUUGAAGGCUUGGAGUUAAUAGCUAUAGCCUGUAACACCCUAGUUGAAGCCUUAGUACCAUUAGCUGCAUUCUCUGUGGACCUACUUUAAGUCUGUGACUCAUGAGUUUGAUUCUGAUCUUAGUCAUAUUGGGUUUCUGGUCAUAAGGAAUAGUAUUUGUAUAGGACUUCUGGUCAUAGAGAAGAAUAUACCUUAUUCGGCUUUCUGGUCAUAGGGAAGAUAGCUAAGGAAUUAACUAAAUGAGGAGUUCUGGUCAUACUGGGUUUCAUUCUGAUUGUUAGUGGUUUAGUUCUUUAACUACUGGGGCUCAGUCUUACACUCGCUUGUGUCAGUCUUAGUAGUUACAUACCAAUACCUACCAAUACCUAGCAGCAACCGAAUCAAUCUUACUGGGCACCGCAUAAGUCCGAGCAGCACUAAGACCUUAGCUAUAUAACAACAGCCUGCCCAGCUACAUACUAAUACUUAGCAGACACCGCUCCAUUCCCCAACUCCCCAGCGUCAGUCUUAGUAGAAAGCAAUCAAGCCUGUCACUCACUAGCUCUACUCCUCGACCACCCGGUUGUAUUCUAUCACUUAGCAGCUCCAUUCUAAACACCCUAGCCUGGCAUCCAAUACUAGCUACCACUGAUUUGAGUCUUAGUACCACUGUUUGAAGUCUGCUCCCACGGGGGCCAACUUCCAUUCUGAUAGGUGUGAGUUUGAUUCUUAGUAAUAGUAGCGGGGUCUUGCUAGCACUGGCUUAAGUCUUGGAUUAACCGCUUCCAUUCUGGUUGUUACUGCUUUGGUUCUGUAGCUGACUAGCUCAAUUCUGAGUGACACUGGUUUGGUUCUCACUGCCACUAAGGUAAGGCUUGAUGGCACUGGCUUGAGUCUUUAACUACCUCGUUUAAGUCUUAGCUGCACCGGUGGGAGGCUUGGAAGCACUACUUUGAUUCCUGGAUCCACUGCUUUGGUUCUAUCACUUAGCAGCAUCAGUCCCAUACUACAACACCCCAGCUUCAGUCUUACACUCAAUAGCUACAUUCCGAGCCUACCUACCAUACCAUCAAGCUGAGCAACACCAGUAUAAGUCUGCCCAGCUACAUACUCAUACUUAGCAGCACCAGUACUAGACCUUAGCGACCUUGUUUAAGACCUUAGCUACAUAGCUUCAUUCUAUCCCUUAGCUACCCCGAACACAGGAACAGACCUACUUGCUACAGGCUCGGUUGGGAAUGCAGGGGCCAAGCAACUACUAACGUUGCGCGGCAGGGCCGCUCCACUCUUCGGGCAAGGUAAGAAUUGGUAAUAUGAGUUUCAGUCUGAGCGGGUUCCCCUACAGUCUAGGUCUUACUCCGGACAGGCUCUAGUACCGGCGGGGUUAGGCUGAGUCUGAUACAACUGAGCUACAGGCUUUGAUUCCACAGCUACAGGCUUUGACCCCGGAGUGCAAGGCGGCAAUUGGUGAGCUACAGGCUGAGGGCACUGCUUUGAGUCCGAGUCACUACAUUACUGUUUCAUCCUGAUACUGCUUAGGCACAUUCUGGUUAGCACUAGCAGCAGCCUAAGUAUACCCUAGCAGCAGCCUAAGUAUACCCAGAGCCAUUCCCUAACUCCCUAGAGCCAAUACCUACUAGCUCCAGUCAGCAGGCACCGUACUAGACCUUAACUACCCGGCAACAGCCUGCAACUACCCCAAAUAUGCCUGUAACACCCAAGGGCCAGGCCGAGUAUACCCAACAGCAGCCUUAAACUACACAGAGCUACAGGCUUACACCGACCAGUUCGAUUCUAUCUCUACUUAGCUGCAUUCCAAGCACCACUAGUAUCAGCCUAGCCAGCACUGGUUUCAGUCUUAGCAUCACUAGCCCCAUUCUGAGUCUUACUGGUUUCAUGCUUUCCAUUUCGAGUUUCAUUCCUGGUCAUGCUAGGUUCAUUCUGUUACUACUGGAGCUCAAUUCUGAGUGUUAUACCUGUAAUAUAGCAAUACCCCAGCUUCAUUCUCGCACUCCUGAAGUUCAUUCUGCUUAAUAGUACUUGCCCCGCUCCCUUCCUAGCAGAUCAAUUGCACUGUAAACCCUACCCGUAAUCUUUAGUUUUAGCACCAGACUCUACAUCUACUGUUGGAUUUAUAUCAGACCCGCUUGCCACCUCUCCUUACUUAGAGCCAAUCACUUCUCUUGCAGACUUAGAGAAAUAAGGUUGCUACAGGACUUUCACUAGCUUGCAACUCCCUCGCUCGUAGACCUCAAUCCACUCACUUACCGCGGAAGUGCUAAUAGGAAUUGGAGAAUGGAAUUGACUACUUUUAGGAUGGAAUUGCAGAAUGAAGAGAAGAGCAACCAAGCUACUACGUCUGGAUCUGUAUCAUAAGCCUAAGAAGUCUCUUCAGCAGGAGAAUAAGAAAUAAGUAUUAGGGUUAUAAGCGGGAUCUCAGGUCAGUAAGCAGCUCGCGGGAAGUAUACUAUAAGUCCUGAAGUAAGUAGGUCAAGAGUUUCAAUGCUAGAUUACAUAAGCAUAAGAAGUAUUUGAAGCGGAAGAUGGAAAUGUAGUAUGAGUAAGCAAUAAGCGAAGCAGUAAGUAAAGGAGAGUGUCCAAGAUCUUAAACUCAAGCAGUAUCUUUAUAAGUGCGCUAAUGGUAAUGAGUUGCUGAAAUGCCAGUUUGACUCGGUGCAAGAGAAGAGUCAAAGUCCAGAACUCUACUCUAUGACAAGGAAGGUGCUACAUCCGGACUAUAAGCCACAAGUUUCGUUUUUUGCUCCCCAAUGGAAUCCAUCGAGCAAGUAUCGCCUGGUUUGUUUUGUUUCUAUUUUCACUUAUUCUGUUCCUUCUAAUUCCCCAGCUUAUGAUCGUUAUUAAGAUCUUGAAUCUAUUCUUCUCCAUGAAACAGGACUUGCUUAUAACUCAUUAAACCAUAUUCUAUUAGCUUACGAAUAAGGAAUUGCAGAAGUCAGAAUUCCACUACCAAUACGAAUAUGACUCCUAUAGAAUCAAACUCGAAAUAGUCAGGCAAUUAGGAAUAGGAAAUGGAACCAAUACUGACAAUGAUUGACUAUCUGCCUAAUCAGACUAAAACACUCGCCUAGUAAUUCCACACUGCUGGAACCGAUCGAAUGAACUAUAUUAUAUAUAAGUACUACUUGGAAUCCAACAAGGAAUACAGGAUUUCACUAUGAGUUAUCAGGCUUUCAGCACCUUGCAACCAAUGCUUCGUAUACUUUCACUCGAAACUCACUCACUGCUUUGAGGCUGCCAUUCCUUUAUCUACUCUUUGAUUUGCUUUUUUCAUUCUAACUAUCUGUCUUACUGCCUUAGACUCCUUUCUGACACUCCUUUCUUUGUCAGUGAAGAUUGCCCGCUUGCACUUUCACAAGCAAUACGACUCUACCUGUCAUUCAAUCAACGUAUACUACCUGCUACUACUACUGGUACAAACCCAUAAUCCAAAUAAUGCAAAUGGAAACUCGGAAUUGCAAUAAGUCUGCCUCUACGUGCUUGCAACCUAUAACUAGUGAGUGCUUCUCAGUGUAACUAGUGCUUCUCGGGCUUUCACAGCUAAUGGAUAGUGCUUCUUUCACUUUCACUAACAGGGAAAUCCACUACUCACUCUAAACCUUACCUUUGCUCCUCAACUCCUUGAUUCAAUGCCUAUGCCCCCGGAUGGAUACUUACUUAACUAACAGGGAAAUCCACUACCUACCUCGAAGCUUACCUUCUUUUCUUUGACUUUUCAUAAUACUAAUCAGAAUCAAUACACAACAAAUAAGGAAUUAAUGACUUAUCUAGCUAGUAAGGCUAUAACUACUGCUUCUAGGAAUCAAUACAGUAAUCGAGAAUCUCACUAAUAACAAUGAGACCUUAUCCAAUAACGCUCAUACUUAUGCUCUAAACGGACUUUCUCGACCUAGCAUCUAGGGAUUGAAGAAGUCACAAUCAAAUCAGCAAACUAGAAUUCCGCUAGGACUAAGGAAUCAAACAAGUCAAAUAGAAUAAGUAGGAUCUAUGGGCUACUACACCAACAACAACGGCUUUCGCAAAGGCUGUAACUACGGAAUCCAAAGCUGUCCUGUCUUUCCCGUCUCUGACUCUUUUGUUCGAGAGUGAGCCUGCCAUAACUUUCUCUUAUUCUGAAGUAACUAGCCUCCCCUAGCACUGCUUCCUCACAGUCCCAUUAUACUGUUGCAAACUAACAAGCUACCCCCAAACUAAAUACUGUAUCUUAUUAGAAUAAAGAAUAGAGAACCGCUGUUAAUCGUAAUAGAACUGGUGUGAACCCUAUAUAGGCCUAACCUAAUUCCCCCCAAUACCGAUACACUGACAACAAGAAUGACCCUACUGAUAGGGAAUACGAAUACUACUAGGGAAUAUCAAUACUGCCAUACAACUCAUACGGAUAAGACUGUGACUUCUAAUAGAAAGAGUGAAGCAAGUACUUCUCUUAAUGAACCAGGAAAUGGAAAGAAUUGCACUAGGGCGUACAAGACCGAAGCAAGGAAUAAGUAAUUGAACUCCUAAGUAGAAGAAGAAAUACGCGUAUAAGUAAUAAGUAGCGGCUUUGAACUAAUGCUACCAAGACCUGAAAUCACUACCGGAAAGAGUUGACCAAUACCUAAUACGUAAGAGAGUGGAGCUACUUAUUAUCAGAUUGAACUUGGAACUAGGACUUGACUGCUAUAGAGAGCUGCUUUCUAGGCGGUCCGGACCCUUGCUUACUUGCUUUGAAACUCACAUAGCACUAUAAGCUAAUAAGGAUUGAGUCGAUGCUACCAGGGCUUCCACCAAUGCCAACAAGACCUUAAUCUAUAGCUUAGGAUCGGACAACUACUGACAAGGCUGAAAACCAAACUUCCUAUUGGAAGAAAACCAAUGCCUAUGGGACUUUCACUCCUGCCAGCUGCUUUGCUGCCCUCGCUUUGUGGUAUCUCGGUAUGUUUAUACUGCCUAUUAGCUUGAAUUUACUUGAUUCCAACCUGUGGUACUACUACUAUUUCCAAUAAUGCAACUAUCAACUCAAGGGAAUGGAGCAACUGUUGAAAGGAACCGAACGACUCUACGGCUUAUGAGAAUUCACUAGUAUCCGAUUAGAUUGAAAAAAGCAACUGGCUGGGAAACCAACUACUUACUUCAAUACCGUAUCUUGUAAUAAAGAAGCCAACUACUAGGAAUAAGAAUGGACAGAAUUAGGACUUACUCCUUAAGGAACAGUUAGGAUAUGCUUCAUAAAAGCAAACAAAGAUACAAAAAGAAAAUCAUAGAGCAUAAGAGUGAAAAAGAAUAGAAUGGAGCUAUCUACAAGUAUAAUAAAGUAACCUGAUUGCUUCUUUAAAAGUGCAAUAUGGCGUGUGGUUAGCUUUAGCUGGCUGUUUUCUCUGGCUCUAUGCUGACAACUGGCUUUAAGAACGAAUAGGCGCGCCCCUUCCAAAAGCUUCUUUCUCUCUUCCGGCAUAAUCAUCUUUAUCAGCAUCCAACACGCUAUAGUAUGAUCUUUGUGCCCUUACUUCCUCUGCGCGGUGUACAAAAGUGGAGUUCUACUUGGAUCUUGUAGAAAGAAUGGAAUGAUUACAUUAAGCCGAGAUAAAUGAGGAGAAGAAGCGCUAGGAGUAGAGAGUUGACCGCUGUUCGUUGGUAUUCAUGGCGUCUACAGAAGCUUCGGUUGCUCUGUCAUACCUAGCUCCCUAGGAAGCAGUAAGGAGUGAGAGCUACCGAGGAAGUAGUAAGGAGUGAGUUCCUCAGUCCACAACAAGUAUAUGAAGGGGCUUCCUUUCGUAUGUCGCUUUUUCUUUCCAUUCAUUAAUCAAGAAAAGUGUCUAUUACUCGUAAAGGAAUAUUGCUAGGUGAAUUCUCAUAUAUUGAGUCUCCAAUUCUCAUAUAUUGAGUCCCCAAUUCUCAUAUAUUGAGUCUCAGUAUUCGAAAAGGAAGGAAUGUUGUUAGGUUCAUUAUCUUCUAUUGAGUUCUUCGUUUUCUCACUACGGAAUGAUAGCUAAAAUCGAGAAAAAGGGGCAUUUCCGUAAGACUUCUUUUCUGUUUUUCGGCGAAGCCUUUCUCUUUCUUUUUGGCUACGCUUCUCUCUUUCUUUUUGGCUACGCUUCUCUCUUUCUUUUUGAUGCGCUCACUUCUCUUUCUCUUUCUUCUAUACUGAGUCUUGACCUUCUUUAAUAACUUACGAAGCUUUCUCACAAGUUUCAUCAAACAAAGUAAAGGUAGGGCGUUCGGAUACCCUAAACAACAAGCAAGUAUUAGAGCAGCAGUCGGACUCGUUGCAAUAAAAGGUAGUUUCAUUAGAGCAGCAGUCGGACUCGUUGCAAUAAGAAAGGUAGUUUCAUGUGUUUAGCAGAGAUAAUGUAGCACGUAUAAGCUUCUAGAGUAGGUAGUUUUCUAAGGCUUAAUCUUAAUGCUUGCCGGAGAUGGUUGUUCUAUAGCCCUGAGGAAAAAGACAUUACCCUAGGAUUUAAUAGAGAGCGCCUUUUGUUUCCUCUGAAAUACCCAAGAAAUGAGGCGUAAGUAUUUCGCACUGGGGAGGCCUUCGCUCUGUUGGGACGAGCUGGUAUAGGUGUACAGUCACUUACAUCGGUGAAAACAAAGCGAUGCCCGCUGUCCUGAGUCUUGGAUACGAUAAAGAAAGCCUGUGUCUUCAAGCACAACCCGCACUUAUUCAAAGCUCUAUCCACACUUUGUAAAUCAUGGAUUGCUUUGGCUAUUGGAGGGGUUUGCCUAUAUAUCCUAUCCUUAAAGGUGCGACAUUGACUACAUCUACAAAUGUAUGGAUCUGGGACUUCCCACCAAGAUAUACACUCCAAUCCUAAUUGACUUGUCAGGGAAGUAGCAUUGCUUUUUCUUUUCUUUAUGUUGUGUUGAAGCAUUUGGUACCAAAAGAAGCACGGAUUUAUUCAAUGAUAUUAUCCCAACUAUCAAUCCAAUUACAGCCAGUAAAUUCGUUAAUCAAUUGACUAUCUAAGACUCCGUUAAAGCGCAACUACAUGUAUUGCGAUUGGGAAUUAAAGAUAGGUUCAUUUCAUAUAAGAAAACAACUGAUGAAACAGCCAAUCUUAAUUCCGUUCUAGGAGCGGAGGCAGAAGAUAACUUGAGUACUUGCUUUGAGUCGAGGUGUAAAGAAAACGAGUCUCGUGAGGCGGUAUUAUACUCUUAGACUCCUCUGAACAAUAAAGCCCAUUUUUCUACAGGGAAGCGGGUUUACGAGAUAGCAUGUCUAGUUUGAUUGACAGAACACUCCAAAUACUCCUAUUUAGAAAGCAAACAAAUUAUGCCCCCCGUAUAAGGUUCUCCGCCGCUUCUCACUGUAUCGCUCCACUCCAGCCCAGCCAUAGAUUAAUCUCUACUCUGCGCUCUCUUGCCCAUUUUCUUUUGAUCAAAGCUUUGGAAAGAAUUCCACUUCGUUGUGUUUUUCUUUUCUCUUUAUUUGUUAUAAGCUAGCUUUUCUCUUUAUUUGUUAUAAGCUAGAAAGAUUCAGUGCUGCACCGAUCGAAGCCCUUCUUUCAAUGGAAGAGAUAUAGAUUCGAGCCGCUAACCAUCUCAUACUUUCCUUCCCCUCCACCACCAUCUUAAUCUUUAAGAGUGAGUUAAGUAAAUCGGUAUCAACACCUACUUACAUUUAUUCUUGAUUAUUAUUAUUAGCGGCAUGAAGCCCUUUUUCUUGCAUCACAGCUUUUACUUAUUAAUCCUAUCACUGGCGGAAGAACGUAAACAAUCUCCCUAGGGUUGUUGCAUAUGAUCUUUACUACCGUUCGUUCGAGUCUCUCUCUAAAGUCUUGGUUAGCGGGUACCAUAGUACUACCUAAUGUUGCAAGGGGUGUGGGCUCGGUGGAUUUCUGACUUUGCCCUGUACCCUUCGAUCCUUUUCUCCUAUUGACUAACUAUAACCCUAUCUUUUCUCAGUGGCGAUUUCAAGGGUUUAUCUAUACUUAUCUUUCAGGAGAUAUUGUGGAAUCAAAAAGGAGCUGCCAAGGAGAGGCGGUGUCCUACCUUCUCUAUGCGGAUGAUCUCAUGGUGUUCGUAAGAGCCAACACCAAACCUGCGAAAAACAAACCUAUAAGCUAUUUGGAUUAAGUUCGAUAAAAUACCGGGCAUACCCAUGAAAAGCAAAGUGGUAAAUGCCAACUAUUAUUCUCUUAAAAGUGAGAAAUGCCAACUAUUAUUAUCGGGAUCGUGUUAUAAUGACUGACUCGGUAAACUAACCUACAUCCUCAAUAUUAGAAACUAACCGACGGGUUCUAUACCUAUCCUUUACCUCGGGCUGCCACUUUCUAUUGGACAUCUAUCAGCUGCUAUGUGAGAACAGAACCACUAAUCCCCAAAAUACAUAAGCGAUUGGAGAGUAUCCAUCUCUCUUACGCGGGUAGAUCGGAACUGCGAAAAUCCAUUCGUUCUUAAUGCCCCCCUUUCAUGUUUUUCUGGACCGCGGCCUUUCCGCUGCCCAUCUCGGUUAUUCAACACAUCAAAGCCUUAUGCAGAGAUUUCAUUUACGCUUUUGAAAGGAUACCACGCAAAAAGGAUCCACACAGUAGCUUGGGACCAUAUUGGAUUUGCAAACCCUUUAAUAAGGGGUUUUGUCUAGGUAUCAGGAAAAUCUUAGAUUUCAAACUAGAAUUCAUGAUUCAAUUGUGUUUACAGGUUGUUUGCUCCUAGUUGUUUUGGAACUGGUGCAUUAGCUGUAAACUAAUUACUUAAGGGCAAAGGAAUUGUGAUAACUUGAAUCCAAGUAAAGGCUAUAGGCUAUAAGUAAGUUGGCGCUCCAUCCUGAAAGACUAUAACGAAUGCCAAAAGAUGCAUUCUCCUUGAAGUUGGUAAGAAUAGUGCUGCUAUGUUUUGGUGGGGUACGUGGUCAUCAAAAGGUCACUUGAUUGACGUGUAUGGUUUGAAGCCACCGCUAUUACUGGUAUCCCCGCUCAUGCCUCUAUAGCUUACGUUUGGGCUAUAGAUAGUUUGCUGGGCAAGGUUUGCCUAGAUUUCUCCUUCCAUUGCAGCUGAUGUAAAAGACGUCCUCCCUACUGAGGGAAGUAGAUACAACUAUUUGGAAGCCAUGGGCCUAGGGCAUUUUCUCUUUUCAAACUGCUUGGAACUUCAUUAGAAGCAAGUCGAAGCCUGGGAUAAACUCAAUAGGAAGCUACAGGAAAGCUGCUGUACAAUCACUAAUUCAAUCUUAAGGUAAACCCCCAUCUUUAUAAACUAUACUAGAAACUUACCUUCGAGCAGAAAAGAAAGUAUGAUGAUUCCUGUUUAGACAUCAAUUGCUUCCUUUACACGUGCAGAUUAAUUGAACUGUAAACAACCUUCUUUCCUGAUUGAUGCUGAGUAAAGCAGUAACUCCGUAAGCAUUAAACAAAAGACAAAGAAUUGCACUAACAAAACAAAGGAUACUUAAUCAAACAAACUGUUAUAAAUGAAUAAAGAAUUGCACUAGAAAGUAUGACCAGCUACUCUUAUACUCUAUUAUAGUUCUCCCUCUCGCCAAACCUGUAUGUCCUCAGCCAACCCAUUCCGAGAAUUCGAUAAUAAUCAUUCCAUUAAAAAGUAUUAGUUUACCCCCAUAUCGCCAACACUACGUUGCGCCCCACAAAUAAAGGACAAAGUCAACCAGAGAAGAAGCCGAGCCGAGGUGUAACUCGCUAAGUGAAUUAGUUUGAUCCUAGUUGGCGCCGAGAGAAGAUGCUGGGCUAGGAAAUGUGGUUUCUGUUCCACUGUUCAUGGCGUUAGUCUGGCCAGUAUUAAUAACAAGUCCAUAUGAUUUCAUAUGUAGGUGCUGUAGUUCCAAGUCGAGUAAAGGCAAUCAGGCAGGCAAUAAUAAGGAGUCUAUAACCGAAGGUAAACAAAUCCCACUCUCAAUCCUAAGUGUAAGCCUAAAACCAUCAAUCAGGCAGGAUCAGUUACAGAGGAUGCAGGAUCUAAGCAGUGAAAAGUCUGCUGCAAGUGGGCUAGUUACAGUUGUUGUCUACUCUUUGCUAGUUACAGUUGCGUGUACUCUUUCUUUCCUUGCAGACCUAAACUCUGGCUCAUCUCCACUAGACCUCUGUCAACUAAGUAAGUAAACCAGCCUAGCCUGUAGUUUAUGAGUGGAAUACCGAUUAGCCAGCUGGUUCGACAAGGGAAGCAAUGGAAACGGAAGUCAAGUAAGGGUUUACAAGAUAUGAGAAUUCUAUGGUUGAAACUUUGAUGAUUCAUCGACUGUGGAUGAAAGACCAUACCCGUAGACAAAGUCAUUCUAUGCUUAGCGAAGUGCUCGCUCUCAUAGCGGAUUAUAUUCUGCCAAAGCGAAAAACACAAUCCCCGUUAGCACCCGCUCACUCAAGCUCAAGUAAGGACAUUUUCGGAUAUUCUACAGGGCGUAACAGAAGGAUACUUCGGGACAUAAGGAGACUCAUCUUCAUGAAUUGCACUUUCGCCAACAACAAGAUACAACACAAGAACAGCUUAUUCUCAAUAAACAAAAACAGCUCCUUUUCUCAAUAAACAAAAACAGCUCCUUUUCUCAAUAAACAAAUCAUUCUUAAUUGCACUUUUAGGGCAUGUUCCACAAGAACCGGAAUGGAGUAGCUCCACUUUAUAGAGUCUUCUUACCCCGGCAAGACUUAUUAGUGGCGGCAGUCAGCUGUUACGUACCUUAUAUCUAUUAGUUGAGUUAGGACGUGAGCAGCAAGAUCUGAGGCUGUGUAUUCAAUAGUUAAUUCCUUAAUUUGACAACAGCAACCGGGUGUUUCAUUAUAGGCUAGAGGCUCAUUGAGUGGCAUUACCGGGUGUUUCAUUAUAGGCUAGAGGCUCUUUUAGGUCUCGUCUAUCCAUUGCUUGGCCGGGAUAAGGAGUGUUUACCAUACUUUCAUUCCACUGCUUCCAUAGCUUACUCGCCUAAUCCUUAUGAGGCUUCUGAUGUGGCAUAUGAUCUUACUGCAAUACAAUAACUUCUCUACACGACCGACUUUUUCCAAUCACCUGCACCUCCUUCACCUCCUUAUACUUAAAGACUAGCACCUCACUCUACUUGUUUACGAUUCAGACAGGCGACGAAGACGACGAAAACCAGAUAGGAAUGUUACAGAGCAACUUAUCUCUCUCGCCCGGGCACCUCUUAUUCUUCUUACUCUGAUUACCGCGUUCUAUACAAAUUAGAAACAGUAGAGCUCCAUCUGAGGCUUCUUUACUUUAGACUUUGUCUUAUCCAGCUUUUGCCUCUGUUCCUAUAUACUUUACCGCUUCAUGAACCCCCCUUUUCUCUUUCUUUUUGUCUUAUAGUUUACUCAAGGAGCUCUGCGAUCGUAUAUCAAGUUAACUCAUCUUAUGUGGAAUCUCUUAUCAUUGAAACAAAGAAAGGGCCCAUCUAAGGAAUUGUAACCUAUAAUCUGACCUCACCUGUUCCCUUGAGAUACCAGAUACUUGACUUUCUACCCUUCAUUGCUGGAUAAGAUCCACUGGUUGUUCUUCCGCCUCUGCCGUUGCGUAACUCCCUAAAACACUUGCUCACUCUGUGAAACCUCAAACAAUGCACUUUUCAUGAACUCGUGUUAGGAGAGUUAACUCGUUGUUUAAGGCCUUGAAACCCCCUUUCCUGUUGACAGUGGUGUUGUCGGUUCAAUGAUUCAAGGAAGAGGUGGAUUUACAUGGAUCUAUGCCAAGUGCUCAAUAAGGAUCUAUGCCAAGUGCUCAAUAAGAGAGAUAUGCAACUCGAACAGAACCUAUCUCACGGACUGAACAUUAACAAGCAUCCGACCAAACCUAUGCUUUAAGUAAGGAAUGAAUUGAAUCUCACUAACUCUCAUAUAAGCAAGUAAAAGAAUGAAUGGAAUCCUAUCAUAUAAGUAUGGAUUUUCAUCAUUUCAUCUCACUGGCAUAGUGUAUACUAGAUGAUUUUCCAUAACCUAAUUCUUUGGCUAUAGCUAUCAUAAUCUACUUCAUUAUAGUGGUAUAGGGCCCUUACUAUAAUUUCUGCCAAUAUAAUAAGUAAGGGCAGAGCAGAGUUUUGACUUGUGCUUCUAUAUGUGUCCACGCUCUCUUCUUUUCUUUAGAGUCAAGAGUAGGAAUCAUAGAAAAAUAAUACUAUCAAACUCAAACCACUAGAUUGAUUUUUUCCUUUGAAGCUGAUUCUCUUCUCGACGCAGGAGAUUCGUGAACAACCCCAUCGUUGAGCCUAGCAGUUUAAGCCUUUAACCAGGCACGAGUUACUUACUUUCCUUUCGAAUCUGGUUCACGGGCAGGGUUCACUUAGCCCCCACCCCAGUCAUUCUUCACCCUGUUCGUAUACCUCAUUAAAGUAUUCCUAUGUCUGCAGAGAAGCAAAUACUAUUAGAGAAGGACAGCCUAUAGUCUCCAACAGACACUGCUGUAUCUUGCUCUGGGUCAUUCAUGUCAGUGGUUUGAAUUGAUCUCUUGCCGCUGCUAGAACGACUGGGCUCUUCUAAUGAUUGUAUUUCUUAACCCCUAAUAUAAGUGCGGAAUUUGGUGCUCUCCUUUCCUUGGGCUUGUUCUCAUCAGUUUGAUUCAUUUCUGCCUUUCUCCUCUUCUUCCGCCCACCGAUCGACCGACUCUCCAGUGUGUUCUUUUUCCCAAUAAAUGAAAUCUUCUCGAAAAGGCGGCUUUUGUAGCUUGCCUAGAAGCCCAGUGGAGCUCAAUUUGGUAUGAUCAUUACUAGAGCUUGGGAGAAAUCCGUUCAUAGAUGGAGGAAUGCAACUGAAGUGAAUGGUGUCUCUUCAGAAACCCCCGAGCCCUUUCUUUCCGUUUGGUUCGCAGCUCCGUCACCUGUGUUUCCCUGGAGCAGCGCUUCUUUCCGGUGCUCCGAUGCUCUCGGCUUUGGUAUGGUUCCUCUUUAAUACUUAACAAAUUGCAUGAAUUAUCUGCCUUGCCUUAUUUCUAGCUGUUGAAUGGAGUAAUCUGGGAAGGGAUCUUUUGCCAAUUCCUGUUAGUGUAGCGAAGCCUUCCAAUAUGGGGCAUACGAGUCAGGGGAUAAACGCUUCAUUAGCACUUUCGGCUUUCUCCUUUCUUUGGUUACUACGGAUUCACUUCUUUCGUAGGGCGGUAGCAAAGGCAGAAUAGUCGUACCCGGGAAUCCACUUCCUUGGCUUGAUAGGAAACCUAUCGACCUUUCGGCUUUCUAGUACAACAUCCACUCGUUCUUCACUCGCUAGGGAAGAGAUCGAUUACUCGCUUAGAUAUCGCUACUCUAGUCUGAGUAGGAGUUCCCAUCCAUAAUCUCCGUGGAGGCCUCGUUUUACCUUCCAAUUACGGUUGAUCCUUCGGAAAGAACUAUACUUCACUUUCCUCCAUUAGAUUCGGCAACAAAGGACGAGAUUCCCAUAGGCUUUUAUGUCCCGAUCUCUUUAAUAAGGUCGCCCGGGCUCUUCACCGUAGAACCUUUACCCGAAAAACUGGAGCACUGCUAUACUUUCAUUGCUUUCACUAGAACCCUUUCAUUGCUUUCACUAGAACCAGAGUGUUAGGGGCACGUGUUUAGCCCGAGCUCUUCCUUUGUGUCCCUCCUAGCGAACCGAACGGGGAAAGCUUUUCCCUCACUCGCAUUCGCCUAAUCGAGCAGAAGGCCAGGCAACUCGCCGAUCAUCCUCAAACUGGUCCCGCCUAUAGUUAAUAGUGUCGAACACACAUAAGUAUAGGUUUUGUUGUCCUUACGACGGUUGUAAAAGACCGUAUCUUUACACUAAAUACUCUGAUAGGGUCGCGAAGUGCAACGCCUCAUAGAACAAUUCCGUAAUGUAUCCAUACGAGCUCCGGCCCUCAGCUGCUCGAAUCAAAAAGAAACUUGUUCAUUUAUGUUACGCGUUGUAGACCUUCAAUGUUUCACCUUUCAUAGAUAUAUAUAGGAAAGGCUUGGUUUGGGAAGUGUAGUUGAGGCUGGGCACGUGCGAUAAGUAAUAAAGAAAGAAAGCAAAGGUAAAUCAUCCUUGGGACCGGCUUUGUUGAGGUCGCGAAAGUAAACAUGCGGACUCAGCCGUCCUUUUUCUGGACAGGAACCAUGUUGGCUAACCAUUGGGGGUAUUCCGUAACUACAAUCAAUCCUGUCUUUAGCUGCUUCUAUACUGACUCUUGGAUUUGGAACGUCCAUUCGGGCCUCAUUCUCUUCUCCUCACGUUUCUGCUUGACUGUCUUGGCUUUCUGUAUCGACUCUCCUCCUUCCUGCUGUCUUGGUUAAUACUUUCGUAGUAGUAUUUGUGCGUGGUUGAUUGAAUAUUGAUUUCCUUGUUCACGUUCUUUGUUCGACUGGACAUCUUAAGUGUGGUGGUAGCUCUAACUACGGAAGUGACAAAUGCGUAAAGGCGAGAUGGAUUGUUUCGUCUUCUCUUUUCGUCGAAGGGCAUUUGGCGAUAGGGAACCCACUUAUAUACUUGGCCGGAGCAUGUUUCGGCGCGUGCUUCUGCCUGUUCACGUUCUCUCACCCACUUUAGACCCUGUUUGGUUUCCGUGAGUUAUCGUUCUAUUUCCUGGAACCUGAGUAGCCAGGUUGCGAGCUCCUCUUUAGAGUUCACUGAGGAUGCCCGCGCAAGGAGUUCGUCAAUACCACUCUUUAGGGAGUCGACCUUCUCGAAUAAGUCCUCUUUGACAUGGUUGACUUAGGAUGGGUCCUUCCCACAAUAGGGAUUGUGUGGCCCCGAAGAGGGACCCGCUGCGCUAGUUUACCCACUCUUUAGGAUCGGAGCCGGUUUCCUCCUCUGUACCAUCACAACAGUAUGAGACGGUAAGGGGAAGAAAAAAGGGUAGCCCAAACCACCAAAGGAGGGAAUUUCGCUCAAAACUAAGAACAAGGAAAGGAGGACUACCACAUAUAGACCCAUUCCCGAGCACGGUCAUUGUCUCUUUCGCUUUUCUACCUUGUUCCGUUGUGUUUGCUACAAUGAAGGCAUAUCGUUUGGUAUUCCAGUAUAUAAAUGAGACUACCUUCUGGGCUUUGUCGAAUCCCUUUGACAAGGAUCCGCCACUUUACGUCUUCGGUUGAGGCCAGAACGCCAUUCCUAGCUGGGCCUUCGCGGCGUCCAGACGAGAGAUAACCUAGUGCAAAAGCCCUGAAACUACCUAAAUAUAUAAUGUAUCACUACACUAAUCUAUUUAUAUCGCUUAGGUGCGCUAAGUUUUCUUGGCUUGGAAAGUCCCUCGGUAACUCCAUUCUUUUUAAGGCCGGUUUAGUUAUCACGGGCGCCAAAGAAAAGAGUAUUGUAUUGCUGCCUUUCUCUUUGCUAGAGAGGUAGUGGGACUGGUUAACAAAAUAUGGAUGCCGGUAAACUUCACUUUGAUGAAAGCUGUGCUCCGUAGCCCGGGCUUACUAGGGUUAUCUAGUCACUGAUUCCAAAGUUAUGAAAUUAUGGUGUCAUUGAAAUGGACCCUCCUAAGCAACCUGUUCACCUAAAAUCCGUUCUCAUAGUGGAGAGAUUCUUUGCCCGAUAGCAGAGAUCUCGCCAAGCAUAGCCCAUUCUAGUUCUAGCACCGGAAGAGCCAUUUCUUAGGAAUCCAAAAUAUCCAAAUAUAAUGAAAGAUAUAUGAAAGGAGAAUUGAGCACUCGUGUUAGCCGAAGCAGUAGGAUAAGACUCAAUAGGCAAUUAUCGUGCGCCAGGGUAAACUUCCAUUGUUGGGAAAGACACACCAUACCUUUGCUCGAACAACCACUUCUUUUGUUCCUACUCCGCGGGUAUAGAAUUCUGUAAAUACCACUGCUUCCCUAUCUUUCUCUUUAGCAUCUGAUCCAGCAUCUUAAACAAGAACAGGAACUGGCCUGCUUGCACCAACAUUUUCAUCCGGGUAACAAUAAGUGGAAUUACAAACAAUAGGCAUAUGAGCGGAUCUCUAUUCUUAACCUCGAACAUCACACCUUGCAGCUUACUUUCGAACAGCAGAUUAUGGAUACCGUGACUUUUCUUUGGCCCUUUCACUAGAGAUUGGAUUUGGCCGACCUCGACUCUAACUCUCAUUGCGCGGCUUCUUAUCUUUGCACCUCUAGUAUAUCCUAUAGUUUACACCUCUAGUAUAUCCUCUUGUAUAUAAGUGUAUAGCUUAACCUCUCAUGAUAUUACCUGCUUAAAUACUCAAUCAACAAGCUUCGCUUCCUUGCCCCAGCACCUACUACUGUAACAGACUUUCGAGCAACACCAUCUAGGGCAGCUUCUUAUCUGUAAACUGGAUACUUAAAGAGCAACUCAAGACCGAUCUCCUAUACAAAGUGACAACAUUCUAUAAUACCUGGCGGGCACUCGACCUCAACUAUGGCUCUGUCAACUAACUACUACUGAGAAAACUGCUGACCUUGUCUCUCUCUCCUCUGGACUAGCUUGCCCCCGAGACUUCUUAUAUAGGCCCGACCUCUCUAGCCCGAACUAAACUUUAUGACCUGACCCGACCUCUCAUAAGUAAGCUGCUUUUCUAGUUUCAUCCCCAACCAGUGGAGUAGUCCAGACUUAAUAGGCCAGGUUCCUUCUUUCAUUCUAGUUUCAUCCCGGCCAAGUCACUAAGGGCCAAGUAAUUACUAUACAAGACACGACUAACCCAAAAGAACUGGAAUUGAGACUUCCUUGUUAACUACUUGAAAGCAGGUAUGAUCUAGCGCAUUACCCUAUGGUUCUCUUGCCCAUGUUUUCUACUUGCAAAUGCAUUCUUUCUAAUCGCCAAGAUGUUUUUCUAAGUAUUUCCCAUAAAACUCCAUUAAGUUGUGAUUUAGUGCAUUUCCUCCUAUCAUCUUUAUGGUUCCAUUCUUUAGGAUUCCCUUGCCCACCGAUACUGUCACUACUGAGGUGUAUUCUUUACUUCACUACUAGAUGCUAUGUACUAGCUGACUAGCUCACCUACUGACUACUUCCAUUCUAACUUUCCUACUUAUGAGAUUCUAGGUCAAUUCUGUAACUCGUUCGGACUCUCUGAUUCUGUGACUACUGAGGUCAAUUCUUUCAUUCACUACAGGUGGUGCACUGUUUCGUUCUUUCCCUACCGGAGUGCCUUAUAGUAAGUUGCCAGAGGGUCAGUCAAUCUUAUAGGCGGAAAUUCAUUAUAAGGACAGUUGAUUAGUUUCAUGGUCAAUUCCCUAGUUAAACCCUUACGUCUACUCUUAUUGCCAGGAAAGCUGGGUUUAGCUACAGCAACUGGUACUUUUACUGGUAGAUCAGCAACUACAAGUCCUGUGUGAGCCUUUCCAGGGUAGUCAAUCCUCGGUAGUAAACAAGUCAGAAUGCAGGUAUCAAACUACUGAUCUCAAGUCUUGUGUUGUUGGCGCAGGGCAAGAAUCUAUUAUAAGGAAAGGACUCUCAAUCAAGUGUGCAAGCCUAUACCUAUCAAUAAGGAAGGUGUUGCUAUAAGUGACCUAUCAAUAAGGAAGGUGUUGCUAUAAGUGAAUCGGGUGUUCCUGCCUAAACUAAAAGAUCCGCAUUAGCAGUAGGAUCCGAAAGAGGGCGAGAAGCAGAGGCUCUUAUUAGUUGUUUCGCUAACGAAGGAUAAGAGUGUCAGUCAAUUCCUGGAGUGGAAAUAGAGAUAGAAGUUCAUACUUGAUAGCCUGUUCCCCGCUCUUUCUCGAACGCGAGUGGAAAUAGAAAUAGAUUAAUUUGUAGUUGACUCGGUGCUUACGGUAUAGUUUCCUUUACCAAGUCCUGUCCCCUUAAGUAAUUGGUUCGUCGACUCAUAUAAUUAUGGUUAGUUGUAGUUAUGACCAAAGAAAGAUCGGAAGCAAGAUCAGGUAAGGAAGCAGUAUGCAGUCAGUCAGCAAACGGGUCUUCAAGGGGCAAGUUCCAUGGAGUCAUUUGUGGAAAGUGGAGUUAUCGUUUCAUUCAAGAGAAAGAGAAGAAUCAAAUAAGAGUGUUGGCUUCCUUACUUUACCAGAGCCUGUAGUUUCUCAUUCCAUUAGAAAUUGAGUAUUUGUAGCCAGAGGUAUGUAUAGGAGCCUCAUUGAGUUAUACAAGUAAGUGAUUAAGUCGUCAGCAGCAAGUAAAGAAGCUAGUUCUUAAUCAAGAAACCAGAUUGAAACUCUACCGUCAGCAGAAGCAACAGGUCUGUAUUUCAGGGAUAGAUCUAUCGCAUUAGUGGCUAAGUGAACUACUCUAUUUGUCGCGCCUAAGCUUGGUUAUACGUGACUUGGCCGGGGACGGUCGAGGAAAUGCAAAUGGGCAGAACUCACUCGCCUUACUUCUUGGGUGCUAACGGAGAAGGAGUGGGGUCUUGAAAAGGGCUCUGGCUCUGUACCAUAGAAUUGGCCCUGCCCAGUACCUUAGAUCAUUCUUUUACAGUUAUAUCAUUCUUUGACAGAUUAUAAUAGUAUCAUUCUUUGACAGAUUAAUAGAAUAAUGGAAUAAUAGUGACUAAGAUUAUAACAGUGACUUGCCUCUCUCUUCUCUGGCUACUCAUACUGAUUCUACUACUUGUCAACUUAAGAAGGGACUUUAGCUAUAGAUUAGGACUUGUUAACAACGCAUAUCUUAUAUUAGUUCCUUGCCUUCUAUGUGUUUGUAGUAGUUCCUUGGCCAAUAUUCCACUCGAACAGGAACAGUACUACUACUACCGGGAUGCAACUAUUAGCCCACCAACCCAGUAUUCUUUAUUGCGCCCACCUCUCAUAACAAUACUUUCGAACUGGAACAGGCAAUUAUUUAGCUUCAUAGCAAAUCUCUCCUUUCAAACUAGAAUCUCUCUUUCCGAUCUAAACUCUCACAGCUGCUGACUUUAGAACAGGAACAGGAGAAGGAUCGGCUCCUAUACUAGUAUACGCUUGGUCCCGUGUUUUUUCAUAGCAAAUGGAGAAAUGACUUUACUUUUAUUCGGAUGGAAGUAAACUCUAUUCUACUCUUUGGACUACUCCUUUCAGGGGCUGUAAACAAGGGCUACUACUAGUUUCGUUGGGGAUUCUACUAACAACUACUGAUGAAACAGGACCACUCUACUACCAGUAUUCAACAAGAACAGGAGUAAGAGCACCCCCAACUUAUUUAUGAGCAUGAGCAACGCGCUUCAAAGCCAGCACCUGAUCUAUAUUCUGUUCCUAUCAGUAAGGGCAAAAACUGGAUUAGUAGUUGAUUGGCCUGUAACUCCGUGUACAUAGUCCAUUCGGAGUCUACUGAGUGGAAUUCUUUCCCUGACUACUUGCAUUCUGACUUUGCUACUUCUGAGGUUGUCUCUUACUGCACUACUGGUUAGUUUCAUUCUGUUGAGUAGUGGCGAACACCUGUUACUACUAAGUUCAAUGUAAAGACUGGUUGGCUGUGGUUGCAUUCUGUGACUUAGGAGUGGAAUUCUGAUCUUAGCAGCUAUAGUAUUGGAUUCACUGGUUGAAGUCUUAAGUAGCUAUAUAAGAUGCCUUGUUGUUACUGGUCUAGAUGCACUUGUUUCGUUCUGUGACUCCCUAGUUCCAUUCCUUAACUCCUUACUUGUGAGUUCCAUUCGGGGGUCUCUAAUUCUGACUUGAACUACUGAGUUGCCCUCUGUUACUGACUAGUUGAAGUUCCAGAGUCCGGAGAAAGUACCAAUUCCUUGAGUUUAAGACCGCUCCCUUAGUGACAGUAUGAUUACUCCUCUUAUGUAUCGAGGUAGACAAUUGUGAUAUAAGAUGAAAUCCUAUCCUACUAACACAUAACUUGAUACUUUACCUCAUCUCUAUCCUACUAAACUACACUGUAAACUUCACCUCGAACAAGAUCUUUUCUUUUCUCUUUACCCUAAAACAGAGGCGCUAUAUGCGCUUCAACACCCACUAACCUGCCCUCGUAUUGUCAUUCUACUAUAGGCUAUAUUAGUUUGAUUGAUAGGCAAUAGGUAGUUAGACUAUAUUAGUUUGAUUGAUAGGCGCAUCUAUUCUACGAGUCACACAGAAACGGCACCAAUUUCUAUCCAAUAUCCAUUAGAUUCUAUAUACCCUACGCGGCACCCACAUCUAUUACAUUAAUUACACCAACUUAUUAUGCCCUCACUAACUAGGCACCGCUAAUAGAUUGAUUCCAUAGACCCACUCAUGCUAGGCAUAGGCAAGAGAACGGAUGUCAAUAAAGAUGGAUUUGAAGAAAUGUACCCAUAUCGAAGUGUUACUAAGAUCUGAUCUAUCAUGAACAAAUGUACCCAUAUCGAAGUGUUACUAAGAUCUAUCAAACCUGGCUAAUGAUCCUCUGGAAACUGAAACUCGCUCGGGAUGAAACGAGAAAUUGCACUCCUCAUAUAAUAAAGAGAAAAGAGAAAACUCGGGGCACUCAAGAAAGAGAAAAGAUGAAACUCGGGGCACUCACUACUACUAAUGCACCUCGGGGCACUCACUACUACUAAACCGAGGAAAACAACAGCAGACUUAACUAUUCCAGCACUCGUUCCUUCCAGCCAAGCAGGUAUUGCAAAUUGUAAGAAACCUUGAACGGGAUCAAGCAAGCCCCCGAAACAAGAGAAACCAGAAAAGAGUUUAUCCCCGACCCGACCGAAGAAGUCUCUACCUUAUCUAACUAACUAAGAUCUUUUCUCUCGACUAAAGUAAGUAAGUAGUAGUUCUGGGUAGCUGAACCCACCAACAAAUAUAGAUGAAACUACUGAGUUGCCCUAUAUGCAGGCCUAGUAACAGACUGAGGGCUUAAGAAUUCCGAAUAACCUAUCUCUCUCCUCGGAUCUAGCCUCUGAUCUUGCUCAUCUAGCUAUGUAAACUAAUACUGUUAUGGCUCUUUGACUACUUACUCCGGGUGUUCCUGUGUUCGUUGGUAAUAUGAGUGGAAUUCAGAGACUUACUGGGGGAAUUGUGACUUUCCCACUAGCUCACCUCUUUACUACUUGCCUACUAGCUCAUCUAGCCUACCAGCUCCACUCUUUGACUACCCUGUUUCAGUCUGAGCCUUCUCCUUGCUAUACCUGUUUCGUUCUGCCAUUGCUGAGUGGAAUUCCGAUCUACCACCCCCGCGGCCUCAGGCUUGCUUGUUAGUGGGUUGGCUCUGAGUGGGCACUGCUUUGAGUCUUGCUCGUCCUAUAGGUCGAUUCUGUAACUACCUGGUUGCAUUCUAAAACUACCUGGGCUAAUUCUGAUCUGUCUUACCGCAACGAAGACAUCUGGUCAUAGGUAUCAUUCUUUCACUGACUUGUUUCAUGCCUUGGCUUACUGAUUGAAUUCUUAGACACCCGAGUUUCAUCCUAUCAGUCAUCCUAUAUAUAGAAUAGUAGUAAUUGAGUAGGGGACAAGCCAACAAAGGUGAUCGAUUGACUACUUGCUUAACACAAGCAUCUGAGCCUAGUAACUUCAUUAAACAAGUAAGUCCACCACCCUAGCAACUUUACAAGAGCUACAGCACCAAACCAAACCUAGCAACUAACUACAAAGCUUGGCCCUUCCCGCUACACCUCUUUCUCUGUCAACUAAGUAUGGGCCUUAUCCCGCUUCGGCAUCUGAUAUGGUUCCUACUCCCACACACUGUACUUGCUCUAGACUAAAGGUAGAGAAGAGAGUUUACUUACCGGUAGUGCACUAAAGAAUAGAGUUUCCUUUUUAAAGCAAAGGCCAGGGCAGGGUAAGAAGGAUCCAACUUUGAAUUGAAGAAUCUCAUAUAGAAUAGAAUUCGUUUCAAUAGCCAGAGAGAUUAGGGAAAACAGGCUUCGUCGGCAACUCGGGAUUCUAAUUAGAUACAAGGGAAAGGUCUUCAACUAGCCAAUCUACUACUACAAAGGCAUAAAUAGAGCAGAGCCAGAUCCCACCAGUAGUAUUAGCUACAGCCCUAAGAAACAGGGUAGUGAAUUCUUCAAGCUUCAAGUAAGGAGCAACCAAGCAACAGUUGCAAGAGGAGUUCAAGGCUUUACCGCUUUACUAUUUAUUUCUGGAACUAGAGCUAGUAUUGAUUCCUAUGAUUUCCUGUUUACAGUGGAGAAUUGCCAGGCCAGUGCUUUUGUUGUAGACGAGCGCAUCCAGUAGUUGACUUAGAAUGAAACCUAUCGGAUACAGAAUGCAAUUCCAAGGAAAGAAACGGGGAAUUCACUAGUGCACAAAUAGACUCAAACAAAUAAUACAAGAUACCGGUCUCUAACUACAAUGCCGAUGGAGCUAGUAUAAGCCUGAAACACUGCACUAACCACUUGAACUUACUUACAGCCGCUACACACGAACAAAGGACUUGGUUAUAACCAUGUUAUAACUACUUAUUGCUAGCUGCCGCUUUUCAGCUCGCUGACGCGACACAUUAGUAGUGUCUUGGCCAGAUCUUCCCAUGCUAUUCUUAUUGUCUGCCUCCCAUCUCUUCCUCUGAUCUUGCUCCACUGAUCUAACUGCUUCCCUUGCAAGACCCAGCAAAUACAGAUGAAAGUCCACCACCCGACCCGAGUUAAGUCUGCCUAGACACCGUAUAAGGCUUGAAACAGAGACCCGAGCUACCCAGCAACAGGCUUGGAUGCAGUGGUUGUAGAAUCAAUACCAAUAGCAACAGUCUGCCCAGCAAUGGUUCAAGCCUAUCGCUACCACUACCAAGUCUAUCACUACCAGCAACCAGCUAUCACUGCCACUACCCGGUAUCAGUCCCAUACUACUACUACACCGCAUCAGCCUGCCACUCCAUAGGUCCAUUCUUAACCUUAUACUCUCUAGUUUGAUCUGUAAUCCUAUAAUAUGAUAUAUAAGGAUUUAGGAGUGGGCCAAGUAUACAAAUAUUCUAGAUUUCUUCUAAGCUUAACACAAGCCACUAAACCCUAGUAAUAGGAAGGAAACAAGUAAUUCCACUCGCCAACCUACCCUGUGCUACCAUUCCUCAAAUCUUACCUUUCUACUCACACUCGAGCAGUCUCUUUGAACUCAGGCUUGGCUCAUUGGUUUCAGAAUUCAUAUCAUCUCUUGCCUCUCCUCUAGCUCUGUCAACAAAUACUUCUUGAAACACUCUUACAGCAGCUGCUCCUCUCCUGUAUCUCAAACAAACCUGUGCCCUUAAUUAAUGCGCCUCUGCUCUGGCUCAUCUCCACUAGCAGCUGUCAACUAAUUCCGUAAUUCCUCCACAGACCUAGACUCUGGCUUGGCUCUGUCAACUCACUACUCCUCUGUAAACUAAUAGAGAUGAGACUACUACAAAUACAGAUGAAACAUGCUCGGCUCUGUCAACUAACCAUACUCUGGCAACUUCCAACUAUUCUCUCCUUCCCGCUUCAAAGCCUCCAACAAGUAAUGACUUUUGUUUAGCGUGAGUAAGGGGCAACUGAUCCAACUCCAUCUGCUUACUUUGGCACUGAAUUACUAACCGACACAAUCACUUCUCGUGCAUAAACUUAAGGUUUCAAAACAGGGAAUGUCCUAAGAAUUCAUUUCAUCUUUUGAUCAGCGAGGGCCAGACUGAAUUUCGAACUCCUUAGACAGGGGAGCUACCAUUUCAUCUUGCUUGUUUGAAAUGAAUCGAAACUAAACGAGAUACUUGACUUUAGCCGGGACUUCUUUCAAGCAGGGUAGCAGCGAUUGACUUCUUUCUUGUGCUUGUAAAGUAUAGGUUCCUUGCGAGCAAGUAAGUCUUAUUCCACUCGGGAUGAAACAAUAAAAGAAAGAGACUCCGCUCAAGCAUCCAAUCUAUCUUGAAACUGGAUACCCUGGUUUGAUUCUAAUUAAAACUCACUGACGCCACAAAGACGGGUAAACUCAGGAAUUGCACUCGCUCACUACUCGCAGGAAUAGAAUGAACCACCUGGCUAUCAGUCAAGCUACUAGUCAAUUCCAUUCUUAUGUGCCAAGUCCUGUGUUCGGUUCCCCUAAUUAAUGCCCUAGAGAUAUGGGUUUCAAAUUCACUAUUUCAUAACUUCUGUAGUUUUAUGUGAAAUGACCUAGGAGGAGAGCAAACCCGCAGGAAAUUGCAUAAAAAGGGGCUUUUAUAGAGCACUUCAUAUAGUAUGUGUUACUUCCUUUAAGAAGAGGGGCCAAGCAGCUACUAGGUUUGAUACUCCAAUAUAAGUAAGGCAACGAGAACGGUCACUUGACAAAGAAUCAGAGGAAGGGGAGUCGGAUAGCCUCUAUAUUGAGUGGAACAGGCGUAGUCAUAGUUUCUUUGGCUCCAAGGUAUCAAACAAAAGAUCUAAAGUAUCAGGACUACUAUUAACAGAAUGGAAUGCGCUACCAAUAUUGCUAGUUGAAGGGCGGAUACAGGACUUGUUCUUAACUCGGGUUUCUUGCUCUAGCGGGGUUUCUUUCUCUAGGCAGGGCAGCUUUAUAGAUGCCUUUGAUGCGAGGUAUCUUCUAGCAAUAACAGUGCUACCGGGACUACAACUACUCUCAUUCAAAAGAACAGAAAUCUACUUGUCACCGGCAAGCUACUACACUUUCAUAACUGACCUCCACUUGGACCACAACCCGCUGAAGUGGAACUAAUCCAGAAUUAACACCUAUGUAUCUGUAACUACCUAUGUAUCUGUAACUACCUAUGUAUCUGUAACUAAUACUGUAAGUACUACUGCCCUACCACACCCCUGUGACUUUAUACUUCACCUAAGCAUUCGAUUAGCAUUUUGAUUACUUAUACGAGAACAAAGGUCAAGCGCAAAGAACAGAACGGGAAAUCUACUUCAAGAGAUACCUUUGAGCGUAAGCGGGACCGGGACAAUAAGUGCUUUCUUUUCACAGCGCUAACAGAGCCACUUAUAUAUCUGCCGAGUCUACUUUUAGGGAGCUGCGUGGGCAGUUGAGAAAAGACAUUUCAAAUCAAUUCCCCUUUCUUUAUAUACUUUUUGGAUGCAACAAGGGAUUCACCUGGAACAGUAACUGGCCCGGACUCAUUUCAUUCAUAACUAAAUAACAGUUUGGUGCUCUAGCUCCUUAAAUAACAGUUUGGUGCUCUAGCUCCUAGUAGUAGAGUUGAGUAGAUAACUUAUUCCCUACGCAGAACCCCCUAUAGCUAGACAAAGACACUCUCGACAAAGAAUUCCACUAGCUCUCUAAACAACUGGCAAAGAAUUCCACUGACCCGAGUCAACUAAGAAUGAAACUCGUAUGUAUAAGAAUGCAACCACUACAAACAAGAAUACAACUAUCAACUCUCCACUACUGGCAAAUCAUUCCACUAGCGACUCUCAACUACGGGCAAUGAAUUCUACUAUCAACUCUCACAUCUCACAGCAGCUUACUUAGCGGUUACUACUGACUAACUCCGAUACUAAUAGUUCAAUACCGGCUAUCUAUCCUUAUUUGAACUUUCCUUUACUCUCUACCGACACUUACAAAUAAUACUGAUCGCUAUGAAGGUCUUCCCCGGCUUCCUCACCAAAGCCAACAACAAGAGCAGUACUGGCUCAGGGAUUACACUCGGGAUUACACUCGAGCAAGACCUUGCAGACCCAACUAAGACUGAUUAAGGAAUGGUUUUCACGAAGUAUAUGUUUCAUUAUUGACUACCCUUGACAUGUUCUAUAUUUAAUAUCUAGGACAGGGCAGGUUCUCUCUCGGGCUAUUUGACUAGAUCUACUUAUCUCCUUCUUUUGCUUCAUCAGAUCCUUCUUUUGCUUAAAAGCCAGUAAGUCUGAUCUCAUAGCGUAAACUCGCGCCAAUAACAGAUUGACUUAGGGCAUCCAAGCUUGAGUGAAGGUCCGUUCAUAAAGUGGAGUUCUUGCCCCUUCCAGUAGUGUAGCCAGAGUUUGAUGAGAUAGUUAGAUGAGAUUCAAGUUUUCCUUCCCAUUGCCUGAUAGCUGUGGUAGAGUGACUUAGUUUGGGUGUGUGGUGCAGGUCAGAGGUCAGAUUUCCAAGAAAGGGAUGCCCUAGAUAGAGAUUGGUAACCAACCAGGCCAAGGAGUAGCGGGACCAAGAGAAAAGAAUUAGAUGACCCAGGUGCUUAAGAAGGAAUUGAUUCUUCCCAAAAGCCAACACCACCACUAGCCACUUCAACAAUAACUGGAAAUCAAUCUACUUCAGUACUAAGUAUUCAGUACUAAGUAAAGUGAAGGCAACAAUCCAAGUAAAGGCAAUCAAGACGACAAGCAACCACAGUGGUCCAAGUCAUCUAUGUGAGGAUGCAGGGUACAGGGUUGGCAAGAAAUAGAGAAGAUAGGUCAAUUCUUAUUAAACUAAGGUAUAAGCCUUAUUGUUUCCAUGGCCUACCUCCGGAACUGCUUCCCUUAACCACCCAGCUGGUUACUAAUACUGUUAUUGCUCCUAUAUACUUCUUGCUACUGUUGCUUGGUUGCUCUUAAUUCUUCAAUUCCAAUGAAAUGAAUUCUGUAUCUUAUCUUUAUAUAUAGGAGAACGGAUUCAAUUAAAGUAGGUUAUGAAACCCCCUUUGUAUAGGCUCCAAUACUGUAGUUACUUUUAUGCUUGUAGGCUGGGCCGGUUCGAGCUCGAGUAGAGUAUAUUUCUGUUCUUGUUUGAUCUUUAUAAGGAAGCAUAAGAAGGAAAGUAGACGAGCUAGAGAGAAUAAGCUGUUAGAGUUUCGGGUGCAGUUCCCAACGAAUAAGACAAGCUGCUUUAAUAUUACGGGCAUAUAAGGUAUUUAAUGAAACAACUAACUCAGUAGUUCAAGUCAGAAUCCCACUCAAGCAGGAGGCAGUGGAGAACUAUAGCUCAUCUAACUCGCUAAGACCUUGAAAACAUAGCAACAAAUAAACGUGGCCAAGACACUCAGAGACGUAAACAAGUAAUAAAUUGUUAUACGGAUAAAACUCAUUCACAAAGAUACUCUAAGCCAACAAACAUGGAUUCCACUUAUUAUAAAGAAGAAGAAAGUGAGCGUCGACAAGCAAUGUAUACAAAUAUUGAUGGGUUUACCCUUUCUUCAAGGGAUUCCACCCCAACUGAAGGAUACUCGUCUACAACAACAGUACCGGAUUCUAUUUCUUCCCUUGCCGACCUUUCCCUUCUGUAUAAGUUUUUCAUUCAAUCUAUCUCUUGCGCCGAUCAAUCACCUCUCUUGGUUCCUUUCCUUCUUUAGAAUUUAGUGUACUACUAUAAUAAUUUCAUAAGUAAGGGUGAACGGGCAGGUCUAGUGGAAGUCCUGGGUUGAUUAAAUAAAGGGAUCCUUUUGUCUACUAUAGUAGUUGCUGCUUGUCCCGCCUGUCCGCUUGUCGGCUUGAGGUCGUAGAAAGGCUUUCCCUCCUUUGACACGUUAAGGGUAUCAAAGAUGUUCUAGCUUUCUUGGACUCAAAAUAAGGGGGUUAAUUGCUUCCUUUACAUUAAGGGCGCUUCAGAUGGAAGGGACAGUAGGUCAGGUCUAGUUUUCAGAAUAAGGAGCUGGAUCAGAUCGGAUAAAAUAAUCUUAUAAAGAAAGAAGCAGAGACAGAAAUACACUUAAUGGCGAAAGUGUCCUCUGUCGGCAACUAAACUAUCAUUCUGACUUGCGGAAUUCUUAUCCUAGGAGUUUGACUUUAUUCUUUAAUAACUAUAGAUUGUAUGGCUCCUCCACCCCAGGCAACGGGCAACAAUUCUAUACUUCCUGACCGCUUCUACUUGAGUUAGAUGACCCGACCUCUUCUACUGGCUACAAUACUAUACUUCAGGACACCACGCUGAAAAGCCAGUACUUGCUUCUGUUACGCGGCAGUGUGCUCGGAAACAACUAACUCAGAUAUCAGAAUGGAAAUAUACUUGAAGUUCCUCUCCUUCCCGGACAUUCCCUUCCCGCUUUAAGCUUAAACCGAUUAUUCCCCAAAGCCAACCUCUUAUCUCGUUGCCAAUGCUAUUAACUUAAGGGCUAGAGUGGAUUUCUAUUCUUUACUUUCCAUUUGUAGUUUAGUCUCCUUGGUAACCUAUCUCUAUUAUCCCUCUUGUCUUACUCGGAUCCUUCUCUUGAAACUAAUACAAAGAAUUGUCUUACUCGGAUGGAUCCUUCUUUUGAAACUAAUACAAAGAAUUGUCUUACUCGGAUGGAUCCUUCUUUUGAAACUAAUUCAAUGACUGGGGGCAGGAGUUCGGGCCUCAUUCCUUAGUCCUAAUUUCUUGUUCUUCACUCUUUUUUAUCUCCUCUCGCUCUACCUAGAAGUGGUUUCAUAAGAUUUCGUAAGAGAAGUUGUUUCUAAAGAUGGGUUCCUCCCUUUGCUUUUUGUCCCUUUAGCUAGUGUUUCUAUACCUAUACAAUGCCAAAAAGAAAGCGGAGGUUGUCGCUCGGUAGCUCCCGCUCCUCUUGAGAAAAAUACUGAUGAAACUAGGGUCGGUAUGAAACUAAUUCCCCAAGUAGUAGCUUGGCAGUUGCUGACGCCAUGUCUUCUUUCUUGCUCUAGUCGUGACUUGGCCCGGACUCUUCUCUUUCAAUUCCAAAGUCAGAAGUCAUCUCGAAAGUAAUAUAAUACUAAAGAAUCCACUGUGCCAGGAAAGGAAACUAUACAGACUUGCUAAUAACUCUAGGAAACUUCACUUGCUAGCUCAGCUCCUGCCGCUAGUGUUCCUAGGCAAGUCGACUCGACAUCGAACAGGGAUGGGCAGAAUUCGGGAGAAGGAAUACAGAAUGGAAGGAGUGGUAGAAAACCCCGGAAUACUGAAUGGAAAGAACUAUCCAAAUAUCUCUUCUUAGUAAGGAGAAAGUGGAGAAAGAUCUUCUUAGUAAGGAGAAAGUGGAGAAAGAGGGAAGUCCUGUCUUCGUAGAUGUUUUCACGGGCAAUAACAAGUGCGUCAGUGGCUGGGUCUGUCCUGUAUGAAGUAAAGUCUAUUAUAUAAGCUUAUAUAAGCUGAAUAGAAAGUAAUAGAACUGAUGAAACAGCCAAUCUCUAUCCUGAAGCAGGGCCCUUACUAAUCAUUUUUAUACUCGCUCGCCCACCUAGUGCUCUUAACCAACCGUGUCGUGUGCUCUUUCUUAUAUUAGAGUAUGAUCCUCAAGUACGAUAUAGCGCAAGUCAGAAAAUCCAGUAGUAAUACAGAAAUAUAAAGAAGAAGAAUAUUCGCCUUGCUUGUUUGCUCUUAACCUGCUAUGUAUUCAACAAUUCAAUUCGGACUUUCCUGUUGCAUUCUCAUGCUCUUCACUCAAAUUAGGAAAUUUUACUAAUAACUCGCCCCCCUUUUUUACAAGUAAGGGUGCACCACCAAGUAAGUUAUCCGUCUUUCUAACUAGCAAUGGCUUUCGCACUGCUUCCACUGAGUUAUAACCAGACAAGCUACUACCGAUACUGCACUGUCCACAACUCCCUUUCUUUCCGCUUACUGUUGAUAACGUUGAUUCUGCUUCUAUAUUGGAUGAAACUCAAACUUCGAUUGCGGACUUAGACACAAGCACUCGAACCUCCCCCACCCGCCUAGAAGCCUAUAUUGUAGGAAUAAGUAGCUCACUGACCUCAGACUUUAGCGCGUUCCUGCGCAUUAAAAAGAAUAUUCCUCAAUGAGAAAACGGAACUACUUACUCUCGCCAUUAACAUAAGGGCAGCUUACUUGUUCACCGAUACCAUAACCCUAUGCCUCUGCCUUUAGUUAGUAUAGUCAAGUAAUUGGGGUUCGUCUGCACUCGCACUCUUCGGCAUCUAUCUUAUCUUUCCACUAAAGAUUCUCCUGCGACACCACCAGACUUGAGAAAGGAAACAGCUCUUUCAUCUUAUCGGACUACUGGAACAGUUCUUGUUCUUAUGUUUGAUACCUUCAUUGCCGGUGUGAUUCUUACGUGUUAUACCUUCCGUAGGAGUCCGCUUGCCUACUUGCUAUGUGCUCGACUGAUUCAACCUGACUUCCGGAGUUGGAGAUAAGAUCUGAUGCUGCCGAGUCGGGGGCAG
RNAcentral lists this long non-coding RNA (36070 nucleotides) under Musa acuminata (dwarf banana). RNAcentral's name for it is "long non-coding RNA (MACU_LNC007421)". Lineage: Eukaryota; Viridiplantae; Streptophyta; Magnoliopsida; Zingiberales; Musaceae. The record is from RNAcentral.